GAUGAACGCUGGCGGCGUGCCUAAUACAUGCAAGUCGAACGAAGCGGGAACGGGUGAGUAACACGUGGAUAACCUCCUAUAAGUCUGGGAUAACUUCGGGAAACCGGAGCUAAACCGGAUAGUUAGGGGUCGAUCCGUGCUGGAUUGGCUAGUUGGUAAGGUAACGGCUGACCAAGGCAACGAUGCAUAGCCGACCUGAGAGGGUGAUCGGCCACACUGGAACUGAGACACGGUCCAGACUCCUACGGGAGGCAGCAGUAGGGAAUCUUCCGCAAUGGGCGAAAGCCUGACGGAGCAACGCCGCGUGAGUGAUGAAGGUCUUCGGAUCGUAAAACUCUGUUAUUAGGGAAGCGGUACCUAAUCAGAAAGCCACGGCUAACUACGUGCCAGCAGCCGCGGUAAUUC
RNAcentral lists this ribosomal RNA (405 nucleotides) under uncultured bacterium. Its description in RNAcentral is "partial 16S ribosomal RNA". It matches the Rfam family "Bacterial small subunit ribosomal RNA", at positions 28 to 526 of the family's 1533-position model. The record is from RNAcentral.